This 232-nucleotide long non-coding RNA is filed under the name Lathyrus oleraceus (garden pea). Its description in RNAcentral is "Pisum sativum (pea) long non-coding RNA (PSAT_LNC013285)". The record is from RNAcentral. Lineage: Eukaryota; Viridiplantae; Streptophyta; Magnoliopsida; Fabales; Fabaceae.
UUUGAAGGUGAUGAGGAAAUAAAAUUGAACGUGAUUAUUUACAUGUGUAUAAGUAUGGAUAUGGGUACUAAUAACCUAACUAAAUUAGUUAACACACAAAAAUCGACUAAUCGAAUAAAAAUCAAAAUCGGAAAUUCAAACACUAACUAAAUCUAAAAGGUAAACAUUUAAAAAUACAAACCACUAAAUAAUAAUCGAAUUAAAUUAAUAAAAAUAUAAAAGUAAAAUAAAU